Molecule: ribosomal RNA, 388 nt
Filed under: uncultured bacterium
Lineage: Bacteria
Description: bacterial SSU rRNA
Rfam family: Bacterial small subunit ribosomal RNA
Source: RNAcentral
GACGAACGCUGGCGGCGUGCUUAACACAUGCAAGUCGUGCGGAAAGGCCCCUUUGGGGGUGUUCGAGCGGCGAACGGGUGAGUAACACGUGAGUAAUCUGCCCUGCACUUUGGGAUAACUGCCGGAAACGGUGGCUAAUACUGGAUAGGACUGCAUCCUGCAUGGGGUGUGGUGGAAAGCCUUUGGGUGGUGUGGGAUGUGCUCGCGGCCUAUCAGCUUGAUGGUGGGGUAUGGCCUACCAUGGCUUUGACGGGUAGCCGGCCUGAGAGGGUGACCGGUCACACUGGGACUGAGACACGGCCCAGACUCCUGCGGGAGGCAGCAGUGGGGAAUAUUGGACAACGGGCGGAAGCCUGAUCCAGCAACGCCGCGUGAGGGAUGACGGCCU